UAAGCGACUAAGCGUACACGGUGGAUGCCCUGGCAGUCAGAGGCGAUGAAGGACGUGCUAAUCUGCGAAAAGCGUCGGUAAGGUGAUAUGAACCGUUAUAACCGGCGAUGUCCGAAUGGGGAAACCCAGUGCAAUUCGUUGCACUAUCGUUAACUGAAUACAUAGGUUAACGAGGCGAACCGGGGGAACUGAAACAUCUAAGUACCCCGAGGAAAAGAAAUCAACCGAGAUUCCCCCAGUAGCGGCGAGCGAACGGGGAGCAGCCCAGAGUCUGAAUCAGCUUGUGUGUUAGUGGAACGGUCUGGAAAGUCCGACGGUACAGGGUGAUAGUCCCGUACACCAAAAUGCACAGGCUGUGAACUCGAAGAGUAGGGCGGGACACGUGGUAUCCUGUCUGAAUAUGGGGGGACCAUCCUCCAAGGCUAAAUACUCCUGACUGACCGAUAGUGAACCAGUACCGUGAGGGAAAGGCGAAAAGAACCCCGGCGAGGGGAGUGAAAAAGAACCUGAAACCGUGUACGUACAAGCAGUGGGAGCACCUUCGGGUGUGACUGCGUACCUUUUGUAUAAUGGGUCAGCGACUUAUAUUCUGUAGCAAGGUUAACCGUAUAGGGGAGCCGCAGGGAAACCGAGUCUUAACUGGGCGUUAAGUUGCAGGGUAUAGACCCGAAACCCGGUGAUCUAGCCAUGGGCAGGUUGAAGGUUGGGUAACACUAACUGGAGGACCGAACCGACUAAUGUUGAAAAAUUAGCGGAUGACUUGUGGCUGGGGGUGAAAGGCCAAUCAAACCGGGAGAUAGCUGGUUCUCCCCGAAAGCUAUUUAGGUAGCGCCUCGUGAACUCAUCUUCGGGGGUAGAGCACUGUUUCGGCUAGGGGGUCAUCCCGACUUACCAACCCGAUGCAAACUACGAAUACCGAAGAAUGUUAUCACGGGAGACACACGGCGGGUGCUAACGUCCGUCGUGAAGAGGGAAACAACCCAGACCGCCAGCUAAGGUCCCAAAGUCAUGGUUAAGUGGGAAACGAUGUGGGAAGGCACAGACAGCCAGGAUGUUGGCUUAGAAGCAGCCAUCAUUUAAAGAAAGCGUAAUAGCUCACUGGUCGAGUCGGCCUGCGCGGAAGAUGUAACGGGGCUAAACCAUGCACCGAAGCUGCGGCAGCGACACUAUGUGUUGUUGGGUAGGGGAGCGUUCUGUAAGCCUGCGAAGGUGUGCUGUGAGGCAUGCUGGAGGUAUCAGAAGUGCGAAUGCUGACAUAAGUAACGAUAAAGCGGGUGAAAAGCCCGCUCGCCGGAAGACCAAGGGUUCCUGUCCAACGUUAAUCGGGGCAGGGUGAGUCGACCCCUAAGGCGAGGCCGAAAGGCGUAGUCGAUGGGAAACAGGUUAAUAUUCCUGUACUUGGUGUUACUGCGAAGGGGGGACGGAGAAGGCUAUGUUAGCCGGGCGACGGUUGUCCCGGUUUAAGCAUGUAGGCUGAUUGUCCAGGCAAAUCCGGAUAAUCAAGGCUGAGGUGUGAUGACGAGGCACUACGGUGCUGAAGUAACAAAUGCCCUGCUUCCAGGAAAAGCCUCUAAGCAUCAGGUAACAUCAAAUCGUACCCCAAACCGACACAGGUGGUCAGGUAGAGAAUACCAAGGCGCUUGAGAGAACUCGGGUGAAGGAACUAGGCAAAAUGGUGCCGUAACUUCGGGAGAAGGCACGCUGGUGUGUAGGUGAAGUCCCUGCGGAUGGAGCUGAGACCAGUCGAAGAUACCAGCUGGCUGCAACUGUUUAUUAAAAACACAGCACUGUGCAAACACGAAAGUGGACGUAUACGGUGUGACGCCUGCCCGGUGCCGGAAGGUUAAUUGAUGGGGUUAUCCGUAAGGAGAAGCUCUUGAUCGAAGCCCCGGUAAACGGCGGCCGUAACUAUAACGGUCCUAAGGUAGCGAAAUUCCUUGUCGGGUAAGUUCCGACCUGCACGAAUGGCGUAAUGAUGGCCAGGCUGUCUCCACCCGAGACUCAGUGAAAUUGAACUCGCUGUGAAGAUGCAGUGUACCCGCGGCAAGACGGAAAGACCCCGUGAACCUUUACUAUAGCUUGACACUGAACAUUGAGCCUUGAUGUGUAGGAUAGGUGGGAGGCUUUGAAGCGUGGACGCCAGUCUGCGUGGAGCCAACCUUGAAAUACCACCCUUUAAUGUUUGAUGUUCUAACGUUGGCCCCUGACCGGGGUUGCGGACAGUGUCUGGUGGGUAGUUUGACUGGGGCGGUCUCCUCCCAAAGCGUAACGGAGGAGCACGAAGGUUAGCUAAUCCUGGUCGGACAUCAGGAGGUUAGUGCAAUGGCAUAAGCUAGCUUGACUGCGAGCGUGACGGCGCGAGCAGGUGCGAAAGCAGGUCAUAGUGAUCCGGUGGUUCUGAAUGGAAGGGCCAUCGCUCAACGGAUAAAAGGUACUCCGGGGAUAACAGGCUGAUACCGCCCAAGAGUUCAUAUCGACGGCGGUGUUUGGCACCUCGAUGUCGGCUCAUCACAUCCUGGGGCUGAAGUAGGUCCCAAGGGUAUGGCUGUUCGCCAUUUAAAGUGGUACGCGAGCUGGGUUUAGAACGUCGUGAGACAGUUCGGUCCCUAUCUGCCGUGGGCGCUGGAGAAUUGAGGGGGGCUGCUCCUAGUACGAGAGGACCGGAGUGGACGCAUCACUGGUGUUCGGGUUGUCAUGCCAAUGGCACUGCCCGGUAGCUAAAUGCGGAAGAGAUAAGUGCUGAAAGCAUCUAAGCACGAAACUUGCCCCGAGAUGAGUUCUCCCUGAGACUUUAAGUCUCCUGAAGGAACGUUAAAGACGAUGACGUUGAUAGGCCGGGUGUGUAAGCGCAGCGAUGCGUUGAGCUAACCGGUACUAAUGAACCGUGAGGCUUAACCU
Molecule: ribosomal RNA, 2898 nt
Filed under: Klebsiella pneumoniae
Lineage: Bacteria; Pseudomonadati; Pseudomonadota; Gammaproteobacteria; Enterobacterales; Enterobacteriaceae
Also listed under: 1 other name
Description: bacterial LSU rRNA
Rfam family: Bacterial large subunit ribosomal RNA
Source: RNAcentral